UGUGAAACCUGCUUCAUGGAUCCUGGCCAGAAUCUCCUCUGCAAACACAUUUCAUCUCACACCAUUUAUUCCUGAUCCGUCUGGGCGGAUGAGCGCCAGCGUCCUCUCCACAUGCUCCUUUUCCGGCCCGGCCCGCUCCGAGCUCGAGCCCGCCAUCGCCAUCCUGAAGUUCGGGAAGAAGAAAGCCAGCUCCCUGCUGGCCUGCUCGCUGUCAGAGCUGCCAUGUAGAGCGUUCGAAAGGGUCUCGGUCCCGUACUGAGCCCGCAAGCUGAAGAACAGACAACGGCCGGAAAGAGGGAGGUCAGCAGGGAUGGAUGGACCGAGAAACGGAGAAAUGGAGAGAGAGAAGAGCAGAUGGUCUCACUGCUGGGGGGAGGCAAGAGUCCACACAGGAUGUGUUGUGCUAAAACUGUUAGUGCUCAAAUCUGUGAGCACAAUAUGGAACGUCAACUCCCUCGUAUCACUGUUAAAGUACCUCUCUGGCUGAUUGGUCCUGGCCUCUUCCACAUCCGGUGGACCGAUGAAUUCCCGCCAGGCUGGGAUGACGUCCUCACGGC
Pimephales promelas (fathead minnow) is the source of this 557-nucleotide non-coding RNA. NCBI's taxonomy places the organism in Eukaryota, Metazoa, Chordata, Actinopteri, Cypriniformes, Leuciscidae. The record is from RefSeq and is a predicted model, not a curated record.